UAACACCAACGGUAGAUAGG
Molecule: small nuclear RNA, 20 nt
Filed under: Arabidopsis thaliana (thale cress)
Lineage: Eukaryota; Viridiplantae; Streptophyta; Magnoliopsida; Brassicales; Brassicaceae
Description: snRNA_07016
Source: RNAcentral